This 497-nucleotide ribosomal RNA is filed under the name uncultured bacterium. RNAcentral describes it as "partial 16S ribosomal RNA". It matches the Rfam family "Bacterial small subunit ribosomal RNA", at positions 28 to 507 of the family's 1533-position model. The record is from RNAcentral.
GAUGAACGCUGGCGGCGUGCCUAAUACAUGCAAGUCGAACGAACGGACGAUAAGCUUGCUGCUUUGUUGUUAGCCGCGGACGUGAGAGUAACGCGUGUAUAACCUACCUAUAAUACUGGUAUAACUUCGGGAAACCGGAUCUUAUCCCGGAGAAUAUUUUGAAGCGCGUGGGUCGAUGGUGAGAUACGGUCGUGCGGUCACUUAUAGAUGCAUCCGCGCUGCAUUAGCUAGUUGGUAAGGUAACGGCUUACCAAGGCAACGAUGCAUAGCCGAACUGAGAGGGGGAUCGCCCACCCUGGAGCUGGGACAGGGUCAAGACUCCUACGGGAGGCAGCAGUCGGGAAUCUUACGCAAUGGGCGAAAGCCUGACGGAGCAAGGCGGCGCGAGUGAUGACGGUGUUGGGAUCGUAAAACUCUGUUAUUAGGGAAGAACAUAUGUGUACGUAACUGUGCCCAUCGUGACGGUAACUAAUAAGAAAGCCCCGGCUAACUACGUG